GACGAACGCUGGCGGCGUGCUUAACACAUGCAAGUCGAACGGAAAGGCCCUGCUUGCAGGGUGCUCGAGUGGCGAACGGGUGAGUAACACGUGGGUGAUCUGCCCCUUACUUUGGGAUAAGCCUGGGAAACUGGGUCUAAUACUGGAUAGGACCAUGCUGUAGGUGGUGUGGUGGAAAGAUUAGUUUCGGAAAGGGAUGAGCUCGCGGCCUAUCAGCUUGUUGGUGGGGUAAUGGCCUACCAAGGCGUCGACGGGUAGCCGGCCUGAGAGGGUGGACGGCCACAUUGGGACUGAGAUACGGCCCAGACUCCUACGGGAGGCAGCAGUGGGGAAUAUUGCACAAUGGGCGCAAGCCUGAUGCAGCGACGCCGCGUGGGGGAUGACGGCCUUCGGGUUGUAAACUCCUUUCAGCCAUGACGAAGCCCUUGUGGUGACGGUAGUGGUAGAAGAAGCACCGGCUAACUACGUG
RNAcentral lists this ribosomal RNA (469 nucleotides) under uncultured bacterium. RNAcentral describes it as "partial 16S ribosomal RNA". It matches the Rfam family "Bacterial small subunit ribosomal RNA", at positions 28 to 507 of the family's 1533-position model. The record is from RNAcentral.